GGAUUAGAUACCCUGGUAGUCCACGCCGUAAACGAUGUCUACUAGUUGUCGGUUGUCUUGUACGACGGGUAACGCAGCUAACGCGAUAAAUUGACCGCCUGGGGAGUACGGUCGCAAGAUUAAAACUCAAAUGAAUUGACGGGGGCCCGCACAAGCGGUGGAGCAUGUGGUUUAAUUCGAAACAACGCGAAGAACCUUACCCGGGUUUGAAAUCCUUGGAUGCCUCCUGUGAAAGCAGGUCGGGUUGCCCUUCGGGGUGAAACUUGGACAGGUGUUGCAUGGCUGUCGUCAGCUCGUGCUG
Molecule: ribosomal RNA, 301 nt
Filed under: uncultured bacterium
Lineage: Bacteria
Description: bacterial SSU rRNA
Rfam family: Bacterial small subunit ribosomal RNA
Source: RNAcentral